Molecule: unclassified non-coding RNA, 348 nt
Filed under: soil metagenome
Description: partial contains 5.8S ribosomal RNA, internal transcribed spacer 2, and large subunit ribosomal RNA
Rfam family: 5.8S ribosomal RNA (bases 1-120)
Source: RNAcentral
GAUGAAGAACGUAGCGAAAUGCGAUAAGUAAUGUGAAUUGCAGAAUUCAGUGAACCAUCGAAUCUUUGAACGCACAUUGCGCCCGCUGGAACUCCGGCGGGCACGCCUGUCCGAGCGUCAUUUCAACCCUCAGGCCCCCCUUCGCGGGCGGGCCUGGUGUUGGGGCCCGGCCGCUACCCUGCGGCCGUCCCCUAAAUCCAGUGGCGGCCUCGCCGUGAUCCCUUGCGUAGUAAUGCACCUCGCACCGGAGAGCGCCGUGGCCACGCCGUAAAACCCCCAAUUUUCAAUGGUUGACCUCGGAUCAGGUGGGAAUACCCGCUGAACUUAAGCAUAUCAAUAAGCGGAGGA